UUCUGCCGAGUAUAGGCACUAACAGAAUUACAUAUGGACUCAAUCUGCUAGAGGCUGAGUUAUGUUUAAUCAAAAAAAAUUUUAAUUUUUUUCUAUAAAUAUAGCAUAGAAACACAUGGGGAAAGGCACACAGAAUAUAGAAUACAAAACAUAGAAGAUAAAGAGAGAUCACACAAUAAGCAGAUAGCAGUAAAAAAGUUUUUCACGAAUUUUUUAAGUUUAGGAAAAAAAAAGAUUUU
RNAcentral lists this long non-coding RNA (239 nucleotides) under Durio zibethinus. RNAcentral describes it as "long non-coding RNA (DZIB_LNC002335)". The record is from RNAcentral. Lineage: Eukaryota; Viridiplantae; Streptophyta; Magnoliopsida; Malvales; Malvaceae.